This 480-nucleotide ribosomal RNA is filed under the name uncultured bacterium. RNAcentral's name for it is "partial 16S ribosomal RNA". It matches the Rfam family "Bacterial small subunit ribosomal RNA", at positions 28 to 507 of the family's 1533-position model. The record is from RNAcentral.
GACGAACGCUGGCGGCGUGCUUAACACAUGCAAGUCGAACGAUGAAGAAAAGAAUUGAAGCUUCGGCAGAAAUUCAUUUCGGAUUAGUGGCAGACGGGUGAGUAACGCGUGAGCAACCUACCUCUUACAAAGGGAUAGCCUCGGGAAACCGGGAUUAAUACCAUAUAACAUUGCGACGAAGCAUUUCGAUGCAAUCAAAGCUACGGCGGUAAGAGAUGGGCUCGCGUCCCAUUAACCAGAUGGUGAGGUAACGGCUCACCAUAGUAACGAUGGGUAACCGGCCUGAGAGGGUGAACGGUCACACUGGAACUGAGACACGGUCCAGACUCCUACGGGAGGCAGCAGUGGGGAAUAUUGCACAAUGGAGGGAACUCUGAUGCAGCGACGCCGCGUGAGUGAUGAAGGAAUUCGUUUCGUAAAACUCUAUUCUAUGGGAAGAAAAGGACUGUACCAUAGGAGAAAGCUCCGGCUAAAUACGUG